UGCGUUACCAUUUUGUGUUAAACCCGCGUUCUUCUUUUUCUCCUCUCCAGACUCCAUUGCGAUUACUUUCAUCUUCUUCCUUAGAGUACGAAAGCAUACCAGUUACCGAAUAAUCCUCUUAAAACCCUCCAUUAAUCUAUCACACACGAUCUAUAUUCAAUGCAAGUUCUGACUCUGCAAGGCGGUGAAAGUUCACUUAUAAAAAGAUUUGCAGACGGGCCGUUCCUCCUCCACUUUUCAAGUCCGGUUGAUCUAUUUCUGGGAGGCCAGGAAUGUCCACCGUGGUGGAGAGCUCAUGGGAGUGGAUAUGCUACUACUGGAUUCUCAUGUAUCUUAUUUAAAUCUGCCUUUUGUUCAUAAACAGAAUUAUGAAAAGGUCAGCCUUCACCCUUGAACAUCAUCCUCCCAAUUCGUAGUAGCACCAAAAAUCUUAAUUAGUCUGAAGCUGUUCUGAAACUGGUCUCAAAACUGAUAGUAAUCUGUCUUUGUCUGUCUAUCUACUAUCGUUUGUUGCCGUCAAUGUCUCAUCUCAUAUAAGAGGCACCCAUCUGGACCUUGGUGUUAUUACAAAGAUGAACUUUUUGAUAUUUUUGUGGAAUUGUUUAGACAUAAUCAUCGAUGCACCUGAUCAUACCUUGGUAUUUCUGUAUCCAAGACACUUGAAUCCACUCUGGUUAAUGUUUCAUAUGAAUCUUUGUGUCUGCUCAUUAAUUUAAUUCGAGUUUUUUUUUCUGAAGCCAGCUUCCCGGUGUGUCAACCUGCAUUGUUAUGAACCUUUAAGCAAAAUGACCAUAUACCUCUAACUAUCCGAUCUCCCUUGAAGCGUAGAAUCUCUUUAAAGAAAAUUGAGACUUUGUGAAGGGUUGUAUAUGAUUUCCCAACCUUUGUAUUGUUUUAGGUGUCAGUAGUUUAAGUUGUGUUCUGAAGUAGUUGUGUUUCUUCUUAGCUGGAUCGUGUACCGAUGAUAUGACAUGUUUGAUAUUCUUUUAUUAUGCAUUUUGUUUUUUUGGGUUUUAUCUCAGCAACCAUGAAAGGUUGCUUAAUUUUUUUUUCUUUUUCUUUGGUCUGAAUGAUUUUUUUUUUUAAAAUACACCAAUCACGAGCCGCCACUUGUUGGUGGGUCCCGCGAAUAUUAUAAGCAACAAAGAAAACUCAGUGCUUAUUUUGCAUGCGGAAUGGACGAUGCUUGUGUUUUUGGUAGGGUCCCAGGCCAUAAGCAACUCUUUUGAUAGAGCGAUAAAGAUGCUCGUAGACUCUUUAAUUUUUUGGUAAACUGGUUUGCUACAUUCAUUCUUGGAUAGUUAGUUCUCUUCCACUAUAAAUUUAACACCUGUGUAUAGACUAUAAUAUAAAGAUGUAUCAUAAUGUUAGAAUAUUACGAAGAAGCUCAGCUUUUGUGUAUAAUUUAUAGCGUUGAUUCUAAGGUUGCAUAUAAGAUUCCAUUAUAAUAAGAUUAUGUAACGAUGUUUACCUAAGCUGAAUAAAAAUUCUUAAAGCCCGUUCAUGCUGAUUCUCAUGCACUUGAUAUAUAAUUUCGGCACUUGAGUUUGAUUAAUCCGGCGACCGUCUUGCCUUCGACGCAUACGCAAAACUUACAAAUGUGAGUGCCGCAACUGUAAUCAACUCAUGUGCAGGGGCCUGGUGUGGGAGACCUUGAUAAGAACGACAUACACAAAUUCCUUAAAGACGUUGUCGGCCAAACAUGCACUCAAGAAGACACGCAAGGCUAGCUGCUCAAUUUGUCAAAAUAAUGACCUUAUUAAAUUCUUUGUCCUUGCUUUAUCUAUCAUGUUUUCCAACUUUCAAGCAAUUAAAUAGUUCUUGCGGUAACUACACCCACAUGUUGAAUAACUUACCGCAAAGUUUAUAUA
Long non-coding RNA from Brassica oleracea var. oleracea, 1871 nucleotides. RefSeq lists it as uncharacterized. The transcript is spliced from 3 exons. NCBI's taxonomy places the organism in Eukaryota, Viridiplantae, Streptophyta, Magnoliopsida, Brassicales, Brassicaceae. The record is from RefSeq and is a predicted model, not a curated record.